AGUGAACGCUGGCGGUAGGCCUAACACAUGCAAGUCGAACGGCAGCACAGGAGAGCUUGCUCUCUGGGUGGCGAGUGGCGGACGGGUGAGGAAUACAUCGGAAUCUACUCUGUCGUGGGGGAUAACGUAGGGAAACUUACGCUAAUACCGCAUACGACCUACGGGUGAAAGCAGGGGACCUUCGGGCCUUGCGCGAUUGAAUGAGCCGAUGUCGAAUUAGCUAGUUGGCGGGGUAAAGGCACACCAAGGCGACGAUCCGUAGCUGGUCUGAGAUGAUGAUCAGCCACACUGGAACUGAGACACGGUCCAGACUCCUACGGGAGGCAGCAGUGGGGAAUAUUGGACAAUGGGCGCAAGCCUGAUCCAGCCAUACCGCGUGGGUGAAGAAGGCCUUCGGGUUGUAAAGCCCUUUUGUUGGGAAAGAAAUCCAGCUGGCUAAUACCCGGUUGGGAUGACGGUACCCAAAGAAUAAGCACCGGCUAACUUCGUGCCAGCCGCCGCGGUAA
RNAcentral lists this ribosomal RNA (506 nucleotides) under uncultured bacterium. RNAcentral describes it as "partial 16S ribosomal RNA". It matches the Rfam family "Bacterial small subunit ribosomal RNA", at positions 29 to 523 of the family's 1533-position model. The record is from RNAcentral.